GACGAACGCUGGCGGCGUGCCUAAUACAUGCAAGUAGAACGCUGAAGAGAGGAGCUUGCUCUUCUUGGAUGAGUUGCGAACGGGUGAGUAACGCGUAGGUAACCUGCCUUGUAGCGGGGGAUAACUAUUGGAAACGAUAGCUAAUACCGCAUAACAAUGGAUGACACAUGUCAUUUAUUUGAAAGGGGCAAUUGCUCCACUACAAGAUGGACCUGCGUUGUAUUAGCUAGUAGGUGAGGUAACGGCUCACCUAGGCGACGAUACAUAGCCGACCUGAGAGGGUGAGCGGCCACACUGGGACUGAGACACGGCCCAGACUCCUACGGGAGGCAGCAGUAGGGAAUCUUCGGCAAUGGGGGCAACCCUGACCGAGCAACGCCGCGUGAGUGAAGAAGGUUUUCGGAUCGUAAAGCUCUGUUGUAAGUCAAGAACGAGUGUGAGAGUGGAAAGUUCACACUGUGACGGUAGCUUACCAGAAAGGGACGGCUAACUACGUG
This 497-nucleotide ribosomal RNA is filed under the name uncultured bacterium. Its description in RNAcentral is "partial 16S ribosomal RNA". It matches the Rfam family "Bacterial small subunit ribosomal RNA", at positions 28 to 507 of the family's 1533-position model. The record is from RNAcentral.